RNAcentral lists this long non-coding RNA (574 nucleotides) under Vigna radiata. RNAcentral describes it as "long non-coding RNA (VRAD_LNC017560)". Lineage: Eukaryota; Viridiplantae; Streptophyta; Magnoliopsida; Fabales; Fabaceae. The record is from RNAcentral.
GUAACAAUUGGUAUCAAUUAAUAAUAAAUGGUAAGUCCAAGUAUCGUUUUCCCAAGAGACUCGAAAGGCCUUAUCGUUCAUGUGAAUUAAAAUAGUAAGACUUGAAAAUAAAAAUUAAUCAAUUGGAUGUGUGAAUAAAAUAUGAACAUGCAAAAGAGAUUGAUUCAAUUGACGAGAAGAAAACAAUGGAUGAAUGGAGUUGUUGGGGGUUUACAAUUUCAUCUUAUCCGCUCUCUCUUAUUUACUCCUCUUGAAUUAUCAGCUUGAUUAGUUAAUUGUCAUGCAACUUUCUUAGCCUACCCUUAACCCGAUCCCUCGGCGAAAAGAGCCUAAUACUAAUUACUGGCUUGUUAUCCCUAGCCUCCCCUAGCAAUUAAUACAGCAUUAUAGAGCAGAAGUUAAAAGCAAUUUAUCGUCCUACCCCUAUCCCUAGGUGGUAUUGCUUAAUCAAGAAAUUACUCACCAGUUCAUGACAUUACUGUACGUCCCCGUAUCAAUAAAGACAAACAUCAGUUAUCGAAUGAGUUAAACGAUAAAGGCAUUAAGUACAGAUGAGAACCCAACAAUUAACAAU